GCAAUGGAGGUUCAGUGGCAGAAUUCUCACCUGCCACAUGGCAGACCUGGGUUUGAGUCCCAGCCAAUUCA
This 71-nucleotide transfer RNA is filed under the name Loxodonta africana (African savanna elephant). It matches the Rfam family "tRNA". Rfam says of the family: Transfer RNA (tRNA) molecules are approximately 80 nucleotides in length. Their secondary structure includes four short double-helical elements and three loops (D, anti-codon, and T loops). Lineage: Eukaryota; Metazoa; Chordata; Mammalia; Proboscidea; Elephantidae. The record is from Rfam by way of RNAcentral.